Molecule: ribosomal RNA, 527 nt
Filed under: uncultured bacterium
Lineage: Bacteria
Description: bacterial SSU rRNA
Rfam family: Bacterial small subunit ribosomal RNA
Source: RNAcentral
UUGACAUCCAGCGAACUUGGCAGAGAUGCCUUGGUGCCUUCGGGAACGCUGAGACAGGUGCUGCAUGGCUGUCGUCAGCUCGUGUUGUGAAAUGUUGGGUUAAGUCCGCAACGAGCGCAACCCUUAUCCUUUGUUGCCAGCGAUUCGGUCGGGAACUCAAAGGAGACUGCCGGUGAUAAACCGGAGGAAGGUGGGGAUGACGUCAAGUCAUCAUGGCCCUUACGAGUAGGGCUACACACGUGCUACAAUGGCGCAUACAAAGGGAAGCGACCUCGCGAGAGCAAGCGGACCUCAUAAAGUGCGUCGUAGUCCGGAUCGGAGUCUGCAACUCGACUCCGUGAAGUCGGAAUCGCUAGUAAUCGUGGAUCAGAAUGCCACGGUGAAUACGUUCCCGGGCCUUGUACACACCGCCCGUCACACCAUGGGAGUGGGUUGCAAAAGAAGUAGGUAGCUUAACCCUCGGGAGGGCGCUUACCACUUUGUGAUUCAUGACUGGGGUGAAGUCGUAACAAGGUAGGCGUAGCGAG